UACGGAGGGUGCGAACGUUAAUCGGAAUUACUGGGCGUAAAGCGCGUGUAGGCGGCCAUCUAAGUCGGGCGUGAAAUCCCACGGCUCAACCGUGGAAGUGCACUCGAAACUGGAUGGCUAGAGUCCUGGAGAGGAAGGUGGAAUGCUUGGUGUAGAGGUGAAAUUCGUAGAUAUCAAGCGGAACACCGGUGGCGAAGGCGGCCUUCUGGACAGUGACUGACGCUGAGACGCGAAAGCGUGGGGAGCAAACAGG
This 253-nucleotide ribosomal RNA is filed under the name uncultured bacterium. Its description in RNAcentral is "partial 16S ribosomal RNA". It matches the Rfam family "Bacterial small subunit ribosomal RNA", at positions 524 to 776 of the family's 1533-position model. The record is from RNAcentral.